Long non-coding RNA from Hermetia illucens (black soldier fly), 810 nucleotides. RefSeq lists it as uncharacterized. Lineage: Eukaryota; Metazoa; Arthropoda; Insecta; Diptera; Stratiomyidae. The transcript has 3 exons. The record is from RefSeq and is a predicted model, not a curated record.
AAACGAUAUGCAAAAUAUAAUUGUAUCUGCUUCCAUAGCCCCUGUCGUUGAUUCGUGACCUUUUUGCCCGAUUUCAUCUAGUCAGAAUCCAGAUAUUUCUCCUUUGUUUUCGCCAUACUAUUGUCUUCUGUUCUUUUGAAUUAUGUGACUAAAAAGUUGAUGCUUUCCGUUAGCAUACAUCAUCCGUCCAAGCGUGCUACGUUAGUACGUGGAGAGUGAUACAAAAACCUAAGACCUGAAAAGCGGGUUAAAAUAAUAGUGAUAAGUAAAAGUACUUGCAACAAAGUGUUGCUUUUUAUCACCUCAUCGGUGACAAGUUUGAAUUUUUUUUAUGAAUGUUGUCUGCCAUGAUACAUCGAAAUGUUGUCUUCCUAUUGCGUUAAGGGGUUAGGGGUAGUCAGAAUUUUCAAAAAAUUUAUUUUUUUUUGCAUUUUCUUAAAGUAUAAUAUUUUAAAAAUAUUUUGUGAAAAUUUAAAGUGAAUCCGACAAAUUCUUUUCGAGUUAUUCAACAAUUAACAAAGGGCGCUUGGGCGCUACGGAGCGUUCGAGAGCAGUGAUUUACCAUGGGACGUGAUUAAAGAAAGGUUUCAAGACAACUUCGAACUUCUGAAAAUAUAUAUGGCCCAGGAAUAGAUGACUCAGUAUGAAUCUCCAAGGACUUGUGAUGAUCACCGCAAGGGACUUCUGGAGGAACGGGCUCCACACAAACAGCGAUAACUUUUCAAAUUAUUAAUUUUUUUUUUUAAAUUUUGGUGAAGUCAAGUCGAAACAUGAUGUAUUAAAGCUAUGUUUUUAUUUUUGUAAAAUAAA